GACGAACGCUGGCGGCGUGCUUAACACAUGCAAGUCGAACGGAAAGGCCCUGCUUUUGUGGGGUGCUCGAGUGGCGAACGGGUGAGUAACACGUGAGUAACCUGCCCUUGACUUUGGGAUAACUUCAGGAAACUGGGGCUAAUACCGGAUAGGAGCUCCUGCUGCAUGGUGGGGGUUGGAAAGUUUCGGCGGUUGGGGAUGGACUCGCGGCUUAUCAGCUUGUUGGUGGGGUAGUGGUUUACCAAGGCUUUGACGGGUAGCCGGCCUGAGAGGGUGACCGGCCAAAUGGGGAAUGAGAUACGGCCCAAACCCCUAGGGGGGGCAGGAGGGGGGAAUAUUGCAAAAGGGGGGGAAGCCUGAGGCAGCAACGCCGCGGGGGGGAGGAGGGCCUUGGGGUUGAAAACCGCUUUCGCCUGGGGCGAAGGGGGAGGGGGGGUAAUGGGGAAAGAAGCCCGGGCAAACUACGG
RNAcentral lists this ribosomal RNA (467 nucleotides) under uncultured bacterium. Its description in RNAcentral is "partial 16S ribosomal RNA". It matches the Rfam family "Bacterial small subunit ribosomal RNA", at positions 28 to 506 of the family's 1533-position model. The record is from RNAcentral.